Molecule: non-coding RNA, 79 nt
Filed under: Helianthus annuus (common sunflower)
Lineage: Eukaryota; Viridiplantae; Streptophyta; Magnoliopsida; Asterales; Asteraceae
Source: RNAcentral
GAAAGCCGUAUGCUUUGGAAGAAGCUUGUACAGUUUGGGAAGGGGUUUUGAUUGAUAAAAAAAAAGACUCUACUUCAAC